GCCGAGGUGGCGGAAUGGCAGACGCGCUGCGUUCAGGGCGCAGUGCCCUUACGGGCGUGGGAGUUCAAAUCUCCCCCUCGGCA
Molecule: transfer RNA, 83 nt
Filed under: Dehalococcoidia bacterium
Lineage: Bacteria; Bacillati; Chloroflexota; Dehalococcoidia
Description: tRNA-Leu
Rfam family: tRNA
About the family: Transfer RNA (tRNA) molecules are approximately 80 nucleotides in length. Their secondary structure includes four short double-helical elements and three loops (D, anti-codon, and T loops). Further hydrogen bonds mediate the characteristic L-shaped molecular structure. tRNAs have two regions of fundamental functional importance: the anti-codon, which is responsible for specific mRNA codon recognition, and the 3' end, to which the tRNAs corresponding amino acid is attached (by aminoacyl-tRNA synthetases). tRNAs cope with the degeneracy of the genetic code in two manners: having more than one tRNA (with a specific anti-codon) for a particular amino acid; and 'wobble' base-pairing, i.e. permitting non-standard base-pairing at the 3rd anti-codon position.
Source: RNAcentral